RNAcentral lists this ribosomal RNA (501 nucleotides) under Arthrobacter tumbae. RNAcentral's name for it is "bacterial SSU rRNA". It matches the Rfam family "Bacterial small subunit ribosomal RNA", at positions 1 to 519 of the family's 1533-position model. The record is from RNAcentral. Lineage: Bacteria; Bacillati; Actinomycetota; Actinomycetes; Micrococcales; Micrococcaceae.
GUUGAGAUUUAUCCUGGCUCAGGAUAACGCUGGCGGCGUGUCUUAACACAUGCAAGUCGAACGAUGAUCUUCAGCUUGAUGGGGGGAUUAGUGGCGAACGGGUGAGUAACACGUGAGUAACCUGCCCUUGACUCUGGGAUAAGCCUGGGAAACUGGGUCUAAUACUGGAUACGACCUUCCAUCGCAUGGUGGUUGGUGGAAAGCUUUUGUGGUUUUGGAUGGACUCGCGGCCUAUCAGCUUGUUGGUGGGGUAAUGGCCUACCAAGGCGACGACGGGUAGCCGGCCUGAGAGGGUGGACGGCCACACUGGGACUGAGACACGGCCCAGACUCCUACGGGAGGCAGCAGUGGGGAAUAUUGCACAAUGGGCGCAAGCCUGAUGCAGCGACGCCGCGUGAGGGAUGAAGGCCUUCGGGUUGUAAACCUCUUUCAGUAGGGAAGAAGCGAAAGUGACGGUACCUGCAGAAGAAGCGCCGGCUAACUACGUGCCAGCAGCCCGCG